Molecule: ribosomal RNA, 264 nt
Filed under: uncultured bacterium
Lineage: Bacteria
Description: partial 16S ribosomal RNA
Rfam family: Bacterial small subunit ribosomal RNA
Source: RNAcentral
GUCCACGCCGUAAACGAUGUCGAUUUGGAGGCUGUGUCCUUGAGACGUGGCUUCCGGAGCUAACGCGUUAAAUCGACCGCCUGGGGAGUACGGCCGCAAGGUUAAAACUCAAAUGAAUUGACGGGGCCCGCACAAGCGGUGGAGCAUGUGGUUUAAUUCGACGCAACGCGAAGAACCUUACCAGGGCUUGACAUUGAGUGAAAGGCUAAGAGAUUAGUCCCUCUUCUUCGGAAGACACAAAAACAGGUGGUGCAUGGCUGUCGU